GACCUAGAGGGAGGGGUUCAACCGUAUUUCACAUGGAGAAGACCUUCAUCUUCUUCAACAGAUUACACAAAACAUGGAGCAGACCUUCAUCUUCUUCUCCAGGACAAACCAUAAGAAGAAUCCCAUGAGAUCUUUUUCUUGAACACAAGACAAAAAGAUACAAAAAACCCUAAAAGAACAGUCAGCUGCCGAAUCAACCUUCACCUGCCGGCGACCACUCCACACACAUCCACGACCAGCUAACUCCUCCAUCUCCAGCCGUCGGCGACCCCUUCAACUCUGGCGAACUGACCUCCUCUCUCUCCGGGCUGACACGAACGACCCCUCGUCUCAUUUUCUUGAAGCUAACGCACACAAAAGCACUCCCAUCCCAACUGUUUCUAGAUCUCAAACAUCCGGGUUCCAUUGCCGGCGAGCUUCACGGGAACCAGCGGAAACUAACCCGAAAAUCCCCUAAAAACCAGCUCGAAAACUAUCCUUUUUUCAUCUCAAAAUGGAACUGAAAAUCAGUCGACCCACAACCAUCGACCCCUCGAUUUGUUUCUCCUACGUACCAGCUGAAACUCACAUAAAAAGGUCACUAUUUUUUCAGCUCUGAAAUCUUACAUUGAAGAUGUGCUCGAAGUCGAGCUUCGCCGGAAACCAGUUAGCUCGUCAUCUUUCAUUCGACUCCAUCAAUUCUAACUGAGGUUCUGGCCGAUUUUGUUGCUGCUCGUAGAGUUUGCUGAUUUUGGGUUGCCGGUUAGAGUUUGGUUCGUGGUUUCGGAUUUGUCUCAUUGUUGUCUCCUUCAUUCAGAUUUACACUUUGGCAAAGCUAUUUCAAUUUUCGGGUACUAAAGAACACUUUCUUAACAGGUGUGGUUCUACGUACCAGGACUCGAGCAUGACAGAAACCCAGGACAAUUGCGUUCAGGAGUUACUUGAGGAGACGUUUUAUAUUUUGAGCCUAUUUUUAAGUCUCUUAGGUGGUUUAAGAGUUUGUCGAGUCUUUCAUUAUCGUACUUUCUGUUUUGUAUUUGAAA
This is a long non-coding RNA of Nicotiana tabacum (common tobacco), 1022 nucleotides long. RefSeq lists it as uncharacterized. Lineage: Eukaryota; Viridiplantae; Streptophyta; Magnoliopsida; Solanales; Solanaceae. The record is from RefSeq and is a predicted model, not a curated record.